This 427-nucleotide ribosomal RNA is filed under the name uncultured bacterium. Its description in RNAcentral is "bacterial SSU rRNA". It matches the Rfam family "Bacterial small subunit ribosomal RNA", at positions 356 to 773 of the family's 1533-position model. The record is from RNAcentral.
GAGGAAUAUUGGACAAUGGGCGCAAGCCUGAUCCAGCGACGCCGCGUGAGUGAUGAAGGCCUUUGGGUCGUAAAGCUCUGUCAGCAGGGAAGAACGGCCCCACGGUUAAUACCCGUGGGGAUUGACGGUACCUGCAGAGGAAGCACCGGCUAACUCCGUGCCAGCAGCCGCGGUAAUACGGAGGGUGCGAGCGUUAAUCGGAAUUACUGGGCGUAAAGGGCGCGUAGGCGGCCGAUCAAGUCAGAUGUGAAAGCCCACGGCUUAACCGUGUGAAGUGCAUCUGAAACUGGUCGGCUUGAGUAUCGGAGAGGAAAGUGGAAUUCCCGGUGUAGAGGUGAAAUUCGUAGAUAUCGGGAGGAAUACCGGUGGCGAAGGCGACUUUCUGGACGAAUACUGACGCUGAGGCGCGAAAGCGUGGGGAGCAAAC